AUGACUGCGUGCGGACCGGUGCCCGUGCAAAGGUAUGGUCGCGUUUCUCCGCGCACACGUACGUCGCGGGCAUGUGACGGUGGAGGGAGAAGGGGACAGGGAAGGGUGUCCGCGGCCGCUCUGCGCUUGCUUCCAGACCUCUGGUCCGGGAACCCCCAGCCCAGAGGCACCGUCUGGCCGAGGGUCGAGCAGGCCGUAGCCGCACGGGCUUCCUGGCUCCCUUCACGCGUGGCGGGUCUCCCCGCCCCGGCCCCGCCCCCGCCCACCGCAGGCGCGCUCGGCCGAUUCGGCUGCGGCCACCGGGCGGGACCGUCCGCUUCCCGUGACCCUGCGAGGCCACCAGCGCCGGGACGACCGCCUCCCACGCCCAGGCGAGGAGACGACGCGGCCCACCGAGAGAGGACAGAGCGCCCGGUCCGCGUCGUGGCUGUCCCGCCAUCGCCGCGCCCGACACCAGGAACCGCUGACAGGUGCCGGGCGCCGGCGGCCCCUCACCUGACGCACCCGCACAGACGCUGCCGCUCCUUUUUUGCGGGGCAUACGCCGGCUCGUACCCACGUAGUUACGUACGCACACGGAGAUUCUUCCUGCUACCCCUCGGGCUUUUUUCCUCCUCUCUUUGCGGACCUGCUUUGGGCUCAGUAUUCGCAUGGACACUUUGUAAGUGACCCCAAAGUUCAGGGAGCGCCCAGGGUGCUUCCUGCUGGGGGCUGCCAUCCACCCCCAGCCCUGCCACCUGAGAUAAGCAGCCCCCAAGAGGAGGCGCCAGUGUGCCCAGCACUCUGCCCAUGAGAAAAGGCUCCUUCUAUUCUUGCCUCUGUAGUUCUCUUGGUUACUGCUUGGCUUUAGUUCCGUGCCCUGGACUCACACAUGACGAGCGCUAGGGCAGCUGUGUGGCUGUGGAAAGAUAGCGAGCCUUGUUUCUUCUGCUCCAGCACUCCCUUUUUAUCUCCAGAUCUUCAUCUGUCCUGUUUCCAAGAUGCACACUCCCCUAGCCCCCCUUCCCCUCUGCCCCUGGGCAACUCUUGUUGGUGGUGUCCCUCUCAACGUGGCCCAGGUCAAGUGGUCCAGCCUGAGAACCACUUACUUCUGGUUUUGUUUAAAUGGCCCUCUAAGUCCAUGGGAAGAAGCUGCACCGUGGGGUACCUGCGGACACGGGUGGGCUACUUUGACGUCGCUGGUUAGGUCUCGGGCCUGCACACAGAAUGUGGCACAGCCCAGUUGGAACCUUGGGAGUUGCUGUGAACUUCUGGAAUUCUACACCCUUGUAUUUAUGUUACAGCUUAUUAUAUCAACUUUAAUGGGGGGUGGGGAGAUGCUCAUUUCCAUGUUUCCAUCACUCCUGAGCUCUUCGACAUUACCCGGAGGCAAGAAGGCUCAUAAUUUGGGCAUACUUCCCUAGACCUUUCUCUGUGUUUUUUCUUUACUCCUUUGAGUUCAUUCUGUAUUACCAUCUUGUCUUGUAUUUUUUCACUUAACAUUAAGUAUUCUUCCAUGUUCGGAAAGGUUCCUCAGAAGACAUUUCACUAAGCUCUGCACCUCAUCCUGGAGUAUAUCGGAUUCCAGACUUGCCCCACUCAAGGCCAACUGACAGAUGCUCAGGGAUAGCCCAGCAUACCUUGGACCCAAUGACAUUCUCUUUUCAGAAGGUCCGGCAUAGGGGGUCCUCCUGAAGCAGAUUUGGAGACACAGUUUAUUGAGUCUCUCAUAUCAGUGUCAACUUGGACACUGUGCCCAACAGCCUUGAACUGUGGUUAUCCUGUUUCCUAGUGUUCAUUCACCCAGAGGUCCC
This 1792-nucleotide long non-coding RNA is filed under the name Felis catus (domestic cat). Its description in RNAcentral is "lncRNA (ENSFCAG00000050362.1)". Lineage: Eukaryota; Metazoa; Chordata; Mammalia; Carnivora; Felidae. The record is from RNAcentral.